This 439-nucleotide ribosomal RNA is filed under the name uncultured bacterium. Its description in RNAcentral is "partial 16S ribosomal RNA". It matches the Rfam family "Bacterial small subunit ribosomal RNA", at positions 338 to 795 of the family's 1533-position model. The record is from RNAcentral.
CCUACGGGCGGCAGCAGUGGGGAAUAUUGCUCAAUGGGCGUAAGCCUGAUGCAGCAACGCCGCGUGAGCGAUGAAGGCUUUCGGGUCGUUAAGCUCUGUCCUCAAGGAAGAUAAUGACGGUACUUGUGGAGGAAGCCCCGGCUAACUACGUGCCAGCAGCCGUGGGAAUACGUAGGGGGCUAGCGUUAUCCGGAAUUACUGGGCGUAAAGGGUGCGUAGGUGGUUUCUUAAGUCAGAGGUGAAAGGCUACGGCUCAACCGUAGUAAGCCGUUGAAACUGGAAAACUUGAGUGCAGGAGAGGUGAGUGGAAUUCCUGGUGUAGCGGUGAAAUGCGUAGAUAUUAGGAGGAACACCGAGUGCGAAGGCGGCUCACUGGACUGUAACUGACACUGAGGCACGAAAGCGUGGGGAGCAAACAGGAUUAGAUACCCUGGUAGUC